GACGAACGCUGGCGGCGUGCUUAACACAUGCAAGUCGAACGGAAAGGCCCUGCUUUUGUGGGGUGCUCGAGUGGCGAACGGGUGAGUAACACGUGAGUAACCUGCCCUUGACUUUGGGAUAACUUCAGGAAACUGGGGCUAAUACCGGAUAGGAGCUCCUGCUGCAUGGUGGGGGUUGGAAAGUUUCGGCGGUUGGGGAUGGACUCGCGGCUUAUCAGCUUGUUGGUGGGGUAGUGGCUUACCAAGGCUUUGACGGGUAGCCGGCCUGGGAGGGUGACCGGCCACAUUGGGCCUGAGAUACGGCCCAGCCUCCUACGGGAGGCAGCAGUGGGGAAUAUUGCACAAUGGGCGGAAGCCUGAUGCAGCAACGCCGCGUGCGGGAUGACGGCCUUCGGGUUGUAAUCCGCUUUCGCCUGUGCCGAAGCGUGAGUGACGGUAAUGGGUAAAGAAGCACCGGCUAACUACGUG
RNAcentral lists this ribosomal RNA (468 nucleotides) under uncultured bacterium. RNAcentral describes it as "partial 16S ribosomal RNA". It matches the Rfam family "Bacterial small subunit ribosomal RNA", at positions 28 to 507 of the family's 1533-position model. The record is from RNAcentral.